UGGGGAAUAUUGCACAAUGGGCGCAAGCCUGAUGCAGCCAUGCCGCGUGUGUGAAGAAGGCCUUCGGGUUGUAAAGCACUUUCAGCGAGGAGGAAGGGUUCAGUGUUAAUAGCACUGUUCAUUGACGUUACUCGCAGAAGAAGCACCGGCUAACUCCGUGCCAGCAGCCGCGGUAAUACGGAGGGUGCAAGCGUUAAUCGGAAUUACUGGGCGUAAAGCGCACGCAGGCGGUUUGUUAAGUCAGAUGUGAAAUCCCCGCGCUUAACGUGGGAACUGCAUUUGAAACUGGCAAGCUAGAGUCUUGUAGAGGGGGGUAGAAUUCCAGGUGUAGCGGUGAAAUGCGUAGAGAUCUGGAGGAAUACCGGUGGCGAAGGCGGCCCC
RNAcentral lists this ribosomal RNA (381 nucleotides) under uncultured bacterium. Its description in RNAcentral is "partial 16S ribosomal RNA". It matches the Rfam family "Bacterial small subunit ribosomal RNA", at positions 355 to 728 of the family's 1533-position model. The record is from RNAcentral.